RNAcentral lists this ribosomal RNA (2230 nucleotides) under human gut metagenome. RNAcentral describes it as "bacterial LSU rRNA". It matches the Rfam family "Bacterial large subunit ribosomal RNA", at positions 3 to 2278 of the family's 2925-position model. The record is from RNAcentral.
UCAAGCGACUAAGUGUAUGUGGUGGAUGCCUUGGCGAUCACAGGCGAUGAAGGACGUGACAGCCUGCGAAAAGCUGUGGGGAGCUGGCAAAUAAGCUUUGAUCCACAGAUGUCCGAAUGAGGGAACUCACCUGCUUUGCAGGUAUCCCAUCCUGAAUAUAUAGGGAUGGGAGGCGAACGAAGCGAACUGAAACAUCUAAGUAGCUUCAGGAAAAGAAAUCAACCGAGAUUCCGAAAGUAGCGGCGAGCGAAAUCGGAUCAGCCCAGCACUCGAUAGCAGCCAACUUACGGGAACGGUCUGGAAAGUCCGGCCAUAGAGGGUGAUAGCCCCUUACUGGAAAAGGCAGCUGUGGUACUAAGUGUGCGAUAAGUAGAGCGGGACACGUGACAUCCUGCUCGAAGAUGGGGGGACCAUCCUCCAAGGCUAAAUACUCGUGAUCGACCGAUAGCGUACCAGUACUGUGAAGGAAAGGUUAAAAGAACCCCGGGAGGGGAGUGAAAUAGAUCCUGAAACCGCAUACAUACAAACAGUAGGAGCCUCGUUAAGGGGUGACUGCGUACCUUUUGCAUAAUGGGUCAGCGACUUACGUUUAAUGGCGAGCUUAACCGUAUAGGGGAGGCGCAGCGAAAGCGAGUUCGAACAGAGCGUUCAGUCGUUAGGCGUAGACCCGAAACCAGAUGAUCUAUCCAUGGCCAGGUUGAAGGUGUGGUAACACACACUGGAGGACCGAACCGACUAGUGUUGCAAAAUUAGCGGAUGAGCUGUGGAUAGGGGUGAAAGGCUAAACAAAUCUGGAGAUAGCUGGUUCUCCCCGAAAACUAUUGAGGUAGUGCCUCGUGUAUGACUCCAGGGGGUAGAGCACUGUUAUGGCUAGGGGGACAUGGCGUCUUACCAAACCAUGGCAAACUCCGAAUACUUGGAAGUUUGAGCACGGGAGACAGAGCACCGGGUGCUAACGUCCGGACUCAAAAGGGAAACAACCCAGACCGCCGGCUAAGGUCCCUAAUAUUGACUAAGUGGAAAACGAAGUGGAAAGGCUAAGACAGUCAGGAAGUUGGCUUAGAAGCAGCCAUCCUUCAAAGAAAGCGUAAUAGCUCACUGAUCGAGUCUUUCUGCGCGGAAGAUGUAACGGGGCUAAGUCAAUAACCGAAGCCGCGGAUUCACACUUGUGUGUGAGUGGUAGGGGAGCGUUCUGUAAGCCUGCGAAGGUGACUCGUAAGGGUUGCUGGAGGUAUCAGAAGUGCGAAUGCUGACAUGAGUAACGUUAAAGCGGGUGAAAAGCCCGCUCGCCGUAAGCCCAAGGUUUCCUGCUCUACGUUCAUCGGAGCAGGGUGAGUCGGCCCCUAAGGUGAGGCUGAGAAGCGUAACUGAUGGGAACAAGGUUAAUAUUCCUUGACCACCGCUGAAUGCGAAGGGGGGACGGAGUAUUGAAGAUCAUCCGGGUGUUGGAUAUCCCGGUUUGCGAGCGUAGGAGGCUGACAGGCAAAUCCGUCAGCGAAUCUCCGAGGCAAAGCAUCGAGCUCUCUUUUGAGCGAAGUGAUUGGAUGUGCUUCCAGGAAAAGCCUCUAAGCUCCAGUUCAGCGGGACCGUACCGCAAACCGACACUGGUGGGCGAGCUGAAUAUGCUCAGGCGCUUGAGAGAACUCAGGAGAAGGAACUCGGCAAAUUGACACCGUAACUUCGGGAUAAGGUGUGCCUUUGUAGCGUGGAGGGAGAAACACCCCGAGCGCGAAGAGGUCUCAGAUAAUCGGUGGCUGCGACUGUUUAUUAAAAACACAGCACUCUGCAAAGACGAAAGUCGACGUAUAGGGUGUGAUGCCUGCCCGGUGCUGGAAGAUUAAUUGAUGGGGUGCAAGCUCCUGAUCGAAGUCCCAGUAAACGGCGGCCGUAACUAUAACGGUCCUAAGGUAGCGAAAUUCCUUGUCGGGCAAGUUCCGACCUGCACGAAUGGCAUAACGAUGGCCACACUGUCUCCUCCUGAGACUCAGUGAAGUUGAAGUGUUUGUGAUGAUGCAAUCUCCCCGCGGCUAGACGGAAAGACCCCAUGAACCUUUACUGUAGCUUUGCAUUGGACUUUGAACCGAUCUGUGUAGGAUAGGCGGGAGCCUGUGAAACCACAACGCCAGUUGUGGCGGAGGCGUCCUUGAAAUACCGCCCUGAUUUGUUUGAGGUUCUAACCUGGGACAGUUAUCCUGUCCGGGGACCGUGCAUGGUAGGCAGUUUGACUGGG